Molecule: ribosomal RNA, 286 nt
Filed under: uncultured bacterium
Lineage: Bacteria
Description: partial 16S ribosomal RNA
Rfam family: Bacterial small subunit ribosomal RNA
Source: RNAcentral
ACUCCUACGGGAGGCAGCAGUGGGGAAUAUUGCACAAUGGGCGCAAGCCUGAUGCAGCCAUGCCGCGUGUAUGAAGAAGGCCUUCGGGUUGUAAAGUACUUUCAGCAGUGAGGAAGGGUAGUAGUAGUUAAUAGCUGCUAUUAUUUGACGUUAGCUGCAGAAGAAGCACCGGCUAACUUCGUGCCAGCAGCCGCGGUAAUACGGAGGGUGCGAGCGUUAAUCGGAAUUACUGGGCGUAAAGCGCAUGUAGGUGGUUUGUUAAGUUAGAUGUGAAAGCCCGGGGCUC